CAUGAUUUCAUGUUUUAUUUUUAUAUAUCUGUCCUUUGUGAAGUGGAAAAGCAUAUAUAUAUGGACAAAUACAUUAAAUAAAAAACAUAUACAUAGUAAAUAAGCAACUUACUUUCUUUAUCAAUAAGGGAAGUUCUCAUUGUUUGAUAGAUUAAGUAAACUUCUCAUGUAAAUUUUAUCUGGUUGAAUAAUGAUAGAAUUCUAUCUCUACUUUUCUCUCAUAUUUUUACAAUUCUUGUUUGUGUGUGUGUGUGUGUGUGUGUGUGUGUACUUAGAGCCUCCAAAUUAUAAUAAUAUGUAUCAGUAAGUGACUUCCUCAGGGUCCACACAGCUUUAAGCUGGAAAGAAACCUCUGAGAGAAUGAUCAUCCUUGUGAAAAGCCCAACACAGAGGUACAAUUAGACUCAGGAGCCAGACCAUUUUUGUACAGAUUUCAACCCUUCCUUUGCUUAUUGUGGAACUUCAGGCAGGUUACCUAUCCUCUCUAUGCUUCAGUUUCCUAAUCUAUAAAAUGGAGAAAAUAAUAGAACUAAUUUUAUAGGGUUGUUGUGAAGAUUAAAUGAACAUAUACACAUAAAGCUCUUAAAAGAGUGCCUUCCUUGCAUGCAGUAAUCUGUCCAUAAUUAUGAGCUGCUCUUGAUGUCUCCUUUUGGUUAUGAUUGAAGUAUCUUAGCUUCAAGAUACUUCACCUUUGUUUAAACUAAUCACCUUGAGAAAUCUUUGUUCAUAGUUUGAGUGUGGCUUAAUCUAUGAUUGGGUCCCUUGCUCUUCUAUCAACUAGUAGAUAUGAAUGUUGUUAUAUACAGGAUGUUUGGGGAAAGAUCUCUUGAUUUUUAGAAUUAACUAAUUUGGGACUGCUUAUUAAAUAUCUCUGAUCAGUAGAGGACAUAAUUAAAGAAAACUAGAAUAAGCUUGAUCCUGGCAAAGGAAAUAUUAUUCAUAUUUUUCCUGUUGUGUAAAGUUUUGUUUAUUAUGUACUUGUAUAUAAUCUACAACCUUGGGACAAAUACUUUCUCUGAAACCCACAAUAACUUGGAAAAUGUAAAAUUAUGCCUUUAUCUAAAAAUGCUAAAAAUACAUUUUUUUCUUUGGCAUUUAAAGUAGAGAAAUUAAUUAAAAACUCAUAUUUUCAUAUGUCAGCAUAUAUCAACUAUUAGGAAAAAAAGCACAAAAAUGAAUACACUGUUUAGGGAAGACAUAUACUUUGGCUUUAUCCUCAUUUGUUGAAAGCAUUUUGGUGAUUUGAUGACGACAGUGAAAAUGUAUCCAGGGUUCAAUUAAAAUUCAAAAUAUUGAUCUAGCUUAUAUAGAAUCAGUUCUAUCUUUUGAAUUUAUAAACAAUUAUACAGAAUAUGGUCACAUAAUGUAUAAAAUGCUGUCUGAUUUGUAUAUAGAACAUAAAAACCAAGGUUCUUAUACUUAAAAGAAAUGUUGAUUUGUGUUGACUUUCAAAGGAAAUGAUUAAAUUAUCCAUGUUGCCUAGUUAUCACAGUUGUCUCAUGUGCUCUCGCCUCAGUAUAUUUUUUUAAACAUAGUGCUUUCAUAGAGAACCAGGGUCUAUCUCAGUACUUAUGUUUAUAUUUUUACAUCAUAGUUAUUAUUUUGAAAAUGUAGGAACCCAACAUGACUACUUUCUCCACAGGUUUUCUUUUGGACUAGUGCCAUCUGUGGCUGUGAAGCCAAGUGUUCUGCUGGGGCAGAAUAAUCAAAUCAAAGUUAAUGGGGUGACCAUCUAAGCAGGGCUCUUUGUCAUUAAGGUCCACUCUUCUGAUACUAGCACAUUAUCCUGCUGAUUGGAUUUGUAGGAAGGCAUCCACCUGUGGCCCAAAUUGGCAGAGAAGAGACUUAUUGCAGAGGCAGCCCUGGCGAAGAAGUAGAAGGUAGCUUUCCUGGGCAGCAGAUUCUUUUUCUGAAAAGCCAAAGUGUGCAGGACAGCAUAAAUAAUAUGAGUAGAUUGGUGAUUCACACAUGAUUUCGUUGAUUUAGGUCCCAAAGUAAAGCAACCAAAGGCAGAGGAUUAGAAACUUUAUCAUUAGAAAGAAAUGACUUGUCUGGGACCUGUGAAAGAAGACAUAUAGAGACACUGAGCCAGCUGAUCUGAGGAGAUUUAAGCACAUAGGAAUGAUUUUUCUCUGUUUGGAUGAGAGCUAUUGUAAAAAUUUCCCUGUCUGCUGGGGGCACCGAGGUUCUCACAGACUAUUAUAAACACAAUUUGGCUCACAUGCUCUCAUAAUCAGGCUGACUUGCACUGAAACAGAGAGUGCUCUAUAGCAGUGCCAGGCCUCUAGCAGUACCAACUGUUAAAUAAUAAACAGGCCUUGUUUGUUGGCAGCCUCUUUCCCUCCUGCCAACGUGGAGUGCCCAUUUUCUGGGUUUACCUGUGAGAGUGAGGGAGAGAGAGAGAGAGAGGGAGUUAGUUGUAUGAGGCAGUGGUGGGUGGCAUGGUGGCAUCAUCAGUCUACUUUGUUCAUUAUUUUCUCAGGGCCUCUCGGGUGAGCAGCAAACAUGCAAGGCUUGAGCAGCAAGAACAAUGGCUGUGCUGUCAUUCUAGAUAAUAUUACAGGCUCUGUGGAGUGCAUUAGCUAAUUGUUUUUAUGUUUAUUUUCUCUUCAUAUUCUUUCUCUUCUUUUGAAUUGGUUUGAAGGGAGUGGGGAUUAGAGUGGUUUUGCCAAUUAGAUGCUUUGGUUCAGGAAGUUAAAAGUAUUUGGGGUGAUUGUUUUAUUUCACUGACAAAGUGUAUAUGGUUUAUUAACAUUGAUAGUCAGACAUCCAGUCAAACCACACUUAUUUACUGAAGGCCCACAGGGUGCAAAGAACCUUGGAGUAGGUGCUUAGACUGGACACCCUGUACCUCACUGUGUUAUUGUACAACAAAUACCAGGGUGAGUGCAGUCUUCCUCCUGAUUCCAGGUACCAAAUGAUCAGAAUGACUACAGUAGAACAGUUUAAUUAAUAGCUAAACUAGAAGUGCCCUCCCUUCACCUCCCUCUCCCCACUACUUGAAGAAGAAAAAAAAAAAUUCCUCAAAGUCCUCUCUGUGGUCAUGGAGAUUUUCCCUCCGUUUUACUGGUCCCAGGAAAAGAAUCCUUGAUAAUCUCAGUUUUAUAUUGCUUUUCUUUUUUUGGCUAAAGAAAUUUCAUGUGUUUCACAGAUACAGUGUCAAAAACACAUUCUCUAUUCCCAUAAACUGUCUCCACUCCCCAGCAAAGCCAUGACACAAGUGUCUAAGUGGAAACUUUUGGUUGAUUAGUGUAAAGGAGACACAUUCAAACAGGAGUAAUCAGGGGCAUGUGCUACUCCUGGGAGGGUGACUGGGAACAGAAGGACUGAUUAUUCUCAUGGACUAAUCAUAAAAGCAAUGCUUAACUUUUAAAUAAUAAUGGCAUUGCUAGAGUAAGUUUCUUUCAAGGUGACCACUGAAAAAUAGCUGUUGGUAGUGGCCUAUGUUAAAAUUCAUUUGUUAAAUAUUUUCAGUCACAAUCCUGCAUAAUGAUGGUUCCAUAUAAUGAAACUAUUCAUUAAUUGAGAUACCAAAAUCAUUUCCUCGAGUGAAAUGAAAUUUCUCAGAUCACUAAAUAUGCUUUCAACUGUGUAGUGAUCAUUUAGUUUCUUGACUAGGAUAUUUUUAGAUCAAGAGUAAAUAUUUGAAUUAAGAACUCUGGUGACAUCCCAGGGUGUGUUUCAGAAAGCUAGGACAAUAUUCACAUAUUCAGCUUAAUUUUUUUCUGAAUUCAUGCCUCACCAGUAUGCAAUGGAUACACUUGUGGUGGUGUCUUUUUCCUUUUUUUAAAAUUAAUUUUAUUGGUACAUUUCAGGUAAACAGUAUAAUGACAUUCUUCAUUGGAAAUUUGCAUCUUUACAUAAUCUCUCUUGCUUCUUAUUUUUUCCCCGUUCUCCUGCCCUCCCUUCAACCCCUCCAUCCCACACUAUUUACAAAGACUUAGUUUCCAUUUUUCAUUUUAUCAUAUUUAUUACAUUCUGUUCAUUCCUAUCCCCUACCCCACCCACUUGCCCUUCCCUUCCUAUUUCACACUAUCUGUUAUACCUUUUAGUCCUUAUUUACACUUUCAGUUUCUCACACUAGAGAAACUGUUUUGUAUUUAUACAUGUGUGUUGUAUGUAUUUCAUAUAAGAGUAUCACCUCAAUGUGCAUCCAUUUAUCUAUAAAUGUCUCUAAUUUCUCAUUUUUUAUGGCUGAUUAGUACUCCAUUUCAUAAUAAAAACCACAUUUUCUUUAUCCAGUCUCCAGUUGAUGGGCAAGUGGGCUGCUUCCAAGUUUUAGCUAUUACAAACUUUGCUGCUGUGAACAUGGGUGCACAUAUAUCACUGUGGUAUGAUUCUUUUAAUUCUUUGGGGGAGAUACCCAGCAGAGGAAUAGCUGGGUCAAAUGAGACUUCCAAUCCUAGUUCUUUGAGGUAUCCCAUACUGAUUUCCACAGUGGUUGCACCAGUCAACACUCCCACCAGCAGUGGAGCAGUGUUCCUCUUUCCGCACAGCCCCACCAGCAUUUGUUACUGGUUUUCAUGAUAGCAGCCAUUCUUUCUGGGGUGAAAUGGAAUCUCAGCGUUGUCUUCAUUUUCGUCUCUCUAAUGACCAGUGAUGUUGAACAUUGUUUCAUAUGUUUAUUUGCUAUUUCUACUUCUUUGGUCUGAGAAAUGUCUGUUCAUUUCAGAUGCCCAUUUUUGGAUUGGGUCUUUAAAUUUGUGAGGUCUGAUCUUUUUAAGUUCUUUAUAGAUUCUAGAUAGUAGACCUUUGUCUGAGAAACAGCAGGUGAAAAUUUUUUCCCACAUUGUGGGUUGUCUCUUCACACUGUUGGUGGUUUCUCUUGCUGUGCAGAAGCUUUUUAAUAAGAAGAGAUCCCACUUGUUGAUUGUUUGUGCUAGUUCACAGGCAACUGAGGUUUUGUUCAUAAAAUCUUUUCCUACACCAAUGUCUUUAAGAGUUCUAGCCAAACUCUGUUCCAGCCAGUUCAGUGUUUUUGUUUCAAUAUUUAGAUUUUUAAUCCAUCUUGAUUUUAGUUUAGUGUGUGGUGAGAGAUAUAGGUCUAGUUUUAAUCUUUGGCAAGUUGAAGCCCAAUUUUUCCAGCACCAUUUAUGAAAGAGGCUAUCCUUCCUCCAGUGAGGGUGUUUGGCUUCUUUGUUGAAGAUGAGGUGGCUGAGUGUGUCUGGAAUUGUUUCUGCAUCUUCUAAUCUGUUCCACUGGUCCUCAGGUCUGUUUCUUUGCCAGUACCAUGCUGUUUUUAUCCCAGAUGCUUUGUAGUAUAGUUUCAAGUUGGGGAUUGUGAUACCCCUACCUUGUCUUUAUUGCCUAGUAUUGCUUUUGAUAUUCUAAGUCUCUUCUUGUUCCAAAUGAAUUUUUGGAUUGUUUUCUCCAGAUCUGUAAAGUAUGCUGUUGGGAUUUCAAUCCGGAUUGCACUGAAUCUGUAUAGCAGUUUUGGAAGUAUGGCCAUUUUCACUAUGUUGAAUCAUCCUACCCAGGAGCAAGGGAUGUCUUUCCAUUUUCUGAUAUCCUCAGUCUCUCUUUUCAGAGUGCUAUAGUUUUCAGAGAAGAGGCCUUUGAUUUCUUUCGUUAGGUUGAUUCCUAGGUAUUUCAGUUUUUUGGAUGCUAUUGUGAAAGGAAUUGUUUGCCCUCUUUCUUUUUUUUUUAAUUACUUAAAUUCUUUUAUUGGUACAUUUUAGUUAUACAGCACAUUUACAUUUCUCAUUGGGAACUUGUACCUUUACAUGAUACAUCUUGGUUCUUAUUUUUUCCCCAUUCCUAGCCCUCCCUUCACCCGCUCCACCCUUCCCUAUUUACAAAGACUUUGUUUCCAUUUUUUCCAUUUCUCAUCAUUUUUGCUUUCCCUUCUUUCCUUUCCCCUGCCCCUCCCACUAUCCCUACUGCUUUGGACUUUUUCUUCCUAUUUCACAUUAUCAAUUAUUCAUUCUAAUCGUUGGUACAUUUUAGGUAUACAAUAUAAUGACAUUCAUCACUGGAAAUUUACAUCUUUACAUAAUCUCUCUUGGUUCUUUUUUAAAGAAAACUAUUAUUAUUAUUAUUAUUAUUUGUAUCAGGGAUCGAACUUGGGUCCUUGCACUUGUGCAGCAGGCGGCGAAACCACUGAGCUAAAUCCCCAACCCAGUUUGCCCUAUUUCUAUCUCAGUGAGUCUGUUGUUUGGGUAGAGGAAAGAUAUUGAUUUUUGUGUGUUCACCUUGUAUCCAGCUACUCUACUGAGUUUGGUUAGUAAGUCUAGAAGACUUUUGGUGGAGUUCUUGGGAUCUUCUAUAUAGAGUAUCAUGUCAUCUGCAAAUAAUGACAAUUUGAAUUCUUCGUUUCUAAUCUUUAUUCCUUUUAUUUCUUUCUCUUGUCUAAUUACCAUGGCUCAUGUUUCUAAAACUGUCUUGAACAGGUGUGGUGAUAUUAGACAUCCUUGUCUGUUCCUAAUUUUAGUGUGAAGGAUUUCAGUUUUUCACCAUUUAGUAUGAUAUUGGCUGUUGGUUUUUCAUAGAUGGCUUUCAUCAGGUUGAGGUAGAGAACAUGUAUUCCAAUAUUUGUAGGGUUUUUAUCAUGAACGCAUUUUGGAUUGUGUGGAAUACUUUUUCUGCAUCUAUUGAGAUGAUCAUAUGGUUUUUGUCCUUGGCUCUAUUGAUAUAGUGUAUUACAUUUAUUGAUUUGCAUCUGUUGAACCAUCCUUGCAUCCCUAGGAUGAAGUGUUUGGGUGUUUGAUCUUCUGCAUUGUAUUUGCCAGUAUCUUAUUAAGGAUUUUUGCAUCUAUGUUCAUUAGUGAGAUUGGCCUUUAGUUCUCUUUUUUGGUUGGUUCUUUCUUUGCUUUGGGGAUCAAGGUGAGCUUGCUUCCAGGAAUGAAUUCAGGAGUAUUGUUUCCCUUUCAAUUUCAUUGAAGAGUUUGAACAGUACUAAAUGUCUUUUAGAAUUCAGCAGUGAAACCAUCAGGAACCAGGCUUUUCUUAGUUGGUAAGUUUUUAAUUACAUUUUCAAUUUCAUUGAUUGAUAUUGGGUUGUUUAGAAUUUUUAGGUCUUCUUCGUUCAAGUUUGGUAAUUAAUACGUAUCUAGGAAUCUGUCCAUUUCUUCUGUGUUUUCCAUCUUAUUGGCAUAUAGGUUCUGGAAGUAGGUAUUGAUGAUCCUCUGAAUUUCUGCUGGGUCUGUUGUAAUUUCAUCCUUUCCAUUCCUAAUUGCAUGGAUUUGGGCCUUUUCUUUCCUUUUUCUGGUAAGUUUGACUAAGGGUUUGUCAAUUUUGUUUAUUCUUUUGAAGAACUAACUCUUGACUUCAUUGAUGUUUUGUAUCAUUCUCUUAGUCUUCAUUCCAUUGAUUUCUCCUCUGAUCUUUAUAAUUUCCUCCCUUGUAUGAGCUUUGGGUUUGUGCUGCUCUUUUUUUUCUAGAAGCUUGAGGUUCAGCAUCAGAUUGUUUAAUUGGGCUCGCUCUGUUUUCCUAAUAUGCAUAUUCACUGCUAUGAAUUUCCCUCGUAGGACUGCUUUCAUUGUGUCCCAUAGAUCCUGAUAUGUUGUAUUGUCAUUAUCAUUUAAUUGUAAGAGCUUUCUGAUUUCUUCUUGAAUUUCCUCUGUGACCCAUUGGUUAUUGAGAAGUGUGCUGUUCAAUUUCCAUGUGCAUAUGAAAUUGUUACGGUUUCUUUUGCUAUUGAUCUCCAAUUUCAUCACACUGUGGUCUAAUAAUAUACAGGGGAUAACUUCAAUUCUUUUGCAGUUACUUAAGCAUGCGAGUAUGUGGUCUAUUUUGCAGAAUGACCCAUGUGCAGCUGAAAAUAAUGUGUAUUCUGAUUUUGUGGGGUGGAACACUGUAAACAUCUGUUAAGUUCAUUUGUUCAAGAGUUUGAUUGAGUUCUAGUAUUUUGUUGCUUGUUUUUUGUCUAGUUGAUUUAUCUAUUUGUGACAGUGGGUAUUGAGUUCUCCCACUACUAGUCUAUUAGUGCUUAUUUGAUUUUUCAUGUCCAUUUGUAUUUGUUUAAUAUAGUUGUGAGCACUAGUGUUUGGUGCAUAUAUGUUUAUGAUUGUCAUCUCUUCCUCUUGGAUUGUUCCCUUUACAAGGAUGUAGUGUCCUUCUUUGUGUCUCUUAAUCAGUGUUAGUUUGAAAUCCACUUGAACUGCAAACAAGAUAGCUAUUCCAGGUUUUGGGGGGGUUCCUAUUGCGUGGAGUAUUGUUUUCCACCCCUUCACUUUCAGUCUAUUAGUUUGUUUUUGAAUUAAGUGUGUUUCUUGUAUGUAGCAUAUUGUUGGAUCUUGCUUCUUGACCCAUUCUGCCAGUCUAUUUCUUUUGAUUGGUGAAUUGAGACUAUUAACAUUGAUGAUUAUAACAUACAUAUUGACUUAUCAUUGUCAUGACUUUUUCUUUCUGUUGGAUUUUCCCCCUUUGUGUUUAACUUACUGUCAUGUCUGAAAGAUUCAUUCUGCUGGGCUUCCUGGGGUUGUGAUCCUUGUUUUCUUUUCCUAGGAUAUUGUGUUAAAUUCUUUGGAGUGCUGGUUUGGUAUUCAUGAAGUUCCUAACGUGCUCUUUUUGAUGAGAGUAUCUUAUUUCUCCAUGAAUUUUGAAAGAUAGUUUUGCAGGGUACAUCAGUCUGGGUUGUAGGCUGUUUUCCUUUAGGGCUUUAAAUAUGUCACUCCAAGCUCUUCUUACCUUGGGGGUUUGUAUUGAGAAGUCUACUGUGAUUCUGAUGUGAUUUGUUUCUUUUCUCUAACUGCUUAUAGAAUUUUGUUUGUGAUUUGUUUCUUUUCUUUAUCUCCUUAUAGAAUUUUGUUCUUCUGUUGAGUUUUUGGAAUCUUAACAAUUAUAUGCCUAUGUGUAGAUUUUUUUUUUAUCAAGACUUGUUGGAGUCCUAUAUGCCUCACGUAUCUGUAUGUUAAGUUCUUUUCCCCUGCCUGGGAAGUUUUCUGCCAUCACUUCUGUGAACAGUUUUUUUUUAUGUUGUCUGUACUCUCUCCUGUUCCUUCAUUGACUUAGUCUGAUGUGAUUCUUCUUUGCAUUGUCUGAGCAGCUCCUGGAUUUAUUCCUCAUGGUCCCUUAGUAUUUUAAAGAAAUUUUUCUUUUCCUGGUCACUAAUUGCAAUGUUAUCUUCUAUAUCUGAAAUUCUGUCCUCACAUUGGCUCAUUCUGCUCCAUAGACUUUCAGUGGAGUUUUUAAUCUCCUGGAAAUCUGUUUGCAUUUGUUUUAUGGAUUCCAUUUGUUUCCUAUGUUGGGAUUCCAUCAUGUUCCACAGCGCCUCUAUUUUUUUUAUCUGUAUCUGCUAUAGAUUUAGUAAUCAUGUCUUGCACUGUGGACACAAUAUCUGCUCUUAUGUGAGAAAUUAUUUCUGAUUUCAUUUUUUCCAGAUCCUCUUUUAUUGCCAGUUUAGGAAGUCCAGAUUGUUUAGUAUGAGAUUGUUCCAUCUCAUUUCCCUUUGGGCUUGCUUUAGCUGAUCUUGGAGUCUGGUUUUGAGACAUGUUUAUGUGUCUUCUCAUUUCCUUGUAGUGGGGAGGGAGAGGGAUGUGUGCUGCUGGCAUCCAUGUGGCUCACCUCCUCAUUUCUAGGGGUGGUGGUAUGGAGCCCUGAAAGGUUCACUACCUCGGCACUGGGGGUGCCUCUCCUCCUCAGUGCUGGGGGUGGUUGUCUUUUUCCUUUUAUGAAAAAUGUAAGGUCUUAUGUUCUCAUUGUUUAAAAAAUUGACUAAUUUAUAGUGUCAAAAGUGGUUUAAAAGAAAAGUGGUUUAAAAAUUCAGGCAGUACUGAAUUCACUUAGAGUUCAGAAAAACUGAGUAGAAAUUGUGUAGGAAACAGUUAUUUUAAGCAGUUAUUUAAGCAGUUAUUUUAAACAGUUAUUUUAGCAUUGUGUAACCAAUCGAUGAAUCCAUAUUCUCUAUUCGUUUCCUAUUAAUCCAUAUCCCCUUGUUAACUAAAUUCUCAAAAGUUUCAUUCAGAGGAACUAGGUCCAGAUUAAUUUCUGUUCAUCCAAACAAUGUUGCCUAUUUCCCUAGGUCUUUUCCUACCCAGCAGUUCUCAAUAUCCCAUAGGAACAUUCCCUACAAAAGAAACACUCCCUAUAAAAGCUCUCUGAUGUCUCCUUUCUUCCUAGGUCAGGCUGCUUACAGCUAGCCCCAGUCAGAACCUCACCUAUGCUCUUGCAUUUUCAAUGUUCAAUCUGUUGUGAAUGGAAAAGGUCUUUAGAACUGUGUCUAAAUGAAGAAUAAAUAGGCUUUGAGUGAGAGCCCAAAGAAGAAAUUAUCUCAGCAGUAAAGCUCAUCAAUAUGGUGAACUCUUUCAGUUGGUUAAAAAUUUUGUCUCUUUUGUUCCAGUGAGGUGAAUUUUAAUUUCAUACACUCAAAUACAGACACACACCCACACACACACACAUACACACAAUGUAGGUAUGCAUUUACAACACUGUAUCAUACUCUGUAUAACAUAUAUAACUACACCAUGCUUGCCUAUUGUGUAUUUAGGAACCAAGCUAUGUCUCUGGUAACACAGUAGUUGUUCCAAGUGAUUUAGAUGGUAAAAUCUGUGAAAAGGAGUAGUAGUUUUAUUUUGUUCUAAGUACCUCUGUAAGCAUUCAUGUACUAUGUGGAAGUCCUCAAGGGGCUCAUAAUUUUCCACUAGACUCUCACUUUAUAAGGCUAAAAUGCAUGCAGUUGAAGACCAGUAUGGUAUAUUAUCUUAUUAUUUAUUAGGAUAAACUCUCACUGCCUAAUAAUGUUUUGUAUAAUAUAAGUAUAUUUUUGGUAUAUGUAAUAGAAAAUAUGUGUAUUAUUACAGUUGACAUUGGUUGUUGGGAAAAUGAGAUUGCUGGAGCAGCACUUAAAAUCAUAGUACUGACCUACUUAGAAAAAUUAAUUAUGAAAGAAAAAUAAUGGGUUAUAGUAGCGCAUAAUGGUUUGGGGGAUGCUGCUCAUUGAAAUCCAUCCUGAGGCUUAUUUAAAAUUGGCACAAUUAGAGUUUUCAGGAAUUUGGCAACUUUGAUUUAUUUACAAGGGUUCAUAUAGGAGUUGCGUCAGGGGAGAGUGACGGACAGGGGUGUGUAGUUUAUUGUUAUAAAUUUGAGUUGAUAGAAUUUCCAAUUCAAAUUUGAGGAAAGAUCAUCAGGUUCCUUAAUGGACACAACUUAAUAAAUUUGAGUCCUUGUAUCAAUCAAACUUCAUAUCAGGUCAGAUGAAAAACUGAAUAUACUUAUUUUAGCAGUUAAAACUAUUUUCUACGAUGUCAGUGAACUAAAUUUCUUUAAUUUGCAUUUCACUCUUUGAUUUUUUUCUUUUUAUGAUACUGGAGAUUGAGUCCAGGGCCCCAUACUUGCUAGGUAGUCAUCUGCUGUUGAGCUACAUCCCAGGCCUUUUUUUAUUUUUUGAGAUAGGGUCUUGCUAAUUUUUUUGGGUUGACUUGAACUUGUGAUCCUUCUGCCUCAGUUUUUUGGAGUAGUUGGGAUUACAUGUUAUGCCACUGUAUCUGCCUUCACUUCUUGAAAUUUUUAUUUACCAGAUAUUUAUUGAUACCACCUCUGUUGGUAUUGGUAGUGGUAUUGGUAUUGGUGGUAUUAUGGGGACUAGAAUCCAUUAAUGAAAAGGAAAAAAUCAUAUAAUCUGUUAGGAGAUGAUUAAUGCCUGAUGCACUUAGGGCCAUCAAAAGAAUAUAUCGAUAAAUUACAUUUUAUUAACAUUAAAAUCUGCUCUUUGAAAACAUUAUUGAGAGAAUUAAAAGAUAAGCCACACACUGUAUUUGCAAUGAAAUUUAUCUGAUGGGAGCAGGAUUUAUAUCCAGAAAAUAUAAAGAACUUUCAAAUCUCAAUACAUUUAUAAAUAUCUUCAAGAGUUCUACCUAACCUAUCUUCCCAUAGGUUUAAUAUUUCUGUUUUAAUAUUUAGAACUUUGAUCUACUUCGGUUUUCAUUUAGUGCAUGGUGAAAGAUAUGGGUCUAGUUUUAAUCCUUGGCAGGUUGAAAUCCAGUUUUUCCAGCACCAUUUAUUAAAGAGGCUGUCUUGACGUGAGGGUGUUUGGCUCCUUUGUCAAAGAUGAGGUGGCUUAGUAUGUCUGUGGAGUUGUUUCUGCAUCUUCUAAUCUGUUCCAUUGACCCUUGGGUGUGUUUCUUUGUCAGUACCAUGCUAUUUUUAUCAAGGUGGCAUUGUAGUAUAGUUUCAUGUUGGGUAUUGUGAUACUCCCUACCUUGUCUUUGUUGCUAGAAUUGCAUACUCCUAAGUGAAAUAAAUAGGACACAUGUGUAAAUACAGAAUCAUUUCUCUGGUGUGAGAAACUGAAGGUAUAAAUGAGGACCAAAAUGUAUAGCAGAUAUUGUGAAAUAGGAAAAAAAUGUUUGAAGGGAAAGGGAAACUAGGAAGGGGGCAGGGGAAAGGAAAGAAGGGAAAGAAAAAAAAUGAAAGUAAGAAGUUAAAAAUAGAAACAAAGCUUAUGUGUAUGGGGGGAAAGGUUGAAGGGAGGGCAGGAGAAUGGGAAAAUUAAGAAUCAAGAUAUAUCAUGUAUAGGUACAAAUUUUCAAUGAUGAAUGUGAUCAUAAGCUAGACCUGAAUGUACCAAUAAACUUAAUAAAAAAAUUGUUAAAGAAAAUCAAUUUAGAAAUAAUACAUUUUUAAUGGUAGAAAAGAUUUGAGUAUACACUUGACAAAAAUAUAUAAAGGUGGCAUGUAAAAACAUGAAAAGAUGCUGAACAUCAUUAGCCAUUACAGAAAUGAAAAUUAAAGCCAUAAGAUCCAAGCAUACAUCUAUUAGAAUGGAUAAAAUUAAGAAUUACCCUACCAAGUAGUGGUGAGGAUGUAAGAAACUGGUACUCUCAUACACUGCUGGCAAAAAAGUAGAAUGGCACAGACUCUUUGAUAAUAGUCUGAUGGCUUUUAAAAAUCUAAACAUACAUCUACUGUGUGAUUCAGCAGUUUCACUCCUAGGUAUUUACAUAAGAGAAAUGAAAAUACAUGUCUUUAUUAACCUUGUCCGCAUGUGUUCUUAAUAGCUUUUCUUGUAUUAGCUAAAAAUUUUAAACAACUUAAAUGGCCAUCCAGAGUUUGAUGAAUUAAAAAACUUACAGCAUGUCUAUACAAUGGACUGUGUAAUUUACUAGAAGAACCCUACUCUCUUACAAUUUUCCUUUAUUACAUUGUACUUAUGGUAGUACCUCCUAUAUCUGUGGGAGUUAUGCUCUAAGACCCCCAGUGAAUAACUGAAACUAUGGAUAAAACCAAAACCUGUAUAAGCUACAUUUUUUCUAUAUAUCCAUAUUUGUGAUAAAAUUUAAUUUAUACAUUUAUGCACAUUGUUGGUGGAAAUGUAAACUAGUAUAAUCAUUAUGGAAAUUAGUAUGGAGAUUUCUCAAAGAAAUUUGAUUAGAUUUCAAAGGAAUUGAAAAUUACCUUUGAACCAGCUAUUUUCCUUCUGGGUAUCUUCCUUAAAAAGCUAAAAACAUCAUAUUACAGCAAAACAUGCAUACCAAUGUUUAUAGCAGCACAAUUCAUAAUAGCUAAAUCCUGAAAGCAGCCCCUAUGUCCUUUAACAUAUGAAUGGAUAAACAAAAUGUGGUAUCUAUACAUAAUGGAAUACUACUCAGCUAUAAGGAAGGAUAAAUCAGGACAUUUGUAGGAAAAUGGAUACACCUGCAAAAUAUAAUGUUAAGUGAAAUAAAUAAGACACACAAGCUUAAAUACUAUAAGGUGUCUCUCAUUUGAGUAAGAUAAAGAUGAUACCAGGAAACAGAGAGAUUAGAGCUUUUGCAGAUGGAAAGGGGUAUAGAAGACCAAGAAUGUGGAGAGGAAGGAAGGAGAAUGGGAAGUAAAAAUAUUUAAGAUGUGUCAUGUACAUGUCCCAAAUACCCACAAUGAAUGUAAACAUUAUAUGUCUUAAUCAUGAAUUAAAUAUAAUAAUUAUAAUGAAAAUAGGGGAAGAGAAUUUAGAAACAAAGUGGGGAGGUGGAUAGAGUGGGGAAGGGGAUUAAAAAGGAAUCAAGAUAUGUCUGUCAUAUACACAUACCUACUCCCUAAACUUCAUAUACCGCAAACAUGUACUAAUAGCAUUAAAUUAAAAGCCAAAUUACGCACAGAGAUGAAUAAUAACUAAAAAUAAAAGAAUAAUUGUAACAAUAUGCUGUAAUGUUAUAUGCACAUUUAUUUCUCUUUUAAAAUAUUGUACUUACCCUUCCUUUUGUGAAGAUGUGAGCUGAUAGAAUGCUUGUGUGUUGAAAUGAGUGAUGUAGACCUUUUGACAUAACAUUGGCACCCCAAAUAAAAUAUCUGUGCCAAACUCAGUUCUUUCCCCUAAACACUCUCUUCCUUCCAUUGUUACUGUACAGUCACUCAUGUCAGAAACCUAGCAUUACCUUCUUGAGAUCCUCUACUAUCCCAAGUCUAACCCAUGUCCUGGUACUUUUGAUCUUUUUCCUAACUAUGACUGUAGUUUGUUGACUCCUGUACAUACCAAAGCUACUACACUAAUCCAGGAAACCAUCAUACCUUCCUAAAUUCUUGCAGCAUUCUCCUAAUAUACUUAAUAUUAAUCUUUCAAUUUGGCUCCUGACUCCUCUGUCUCUAUGUCUUUGCCCCCCUAGUAAUCUUACUGCACUUUUCAUGAUUUCAGUGUAUGAUGCUUGGUCCUAUUUUUGGUCUUUGCAUCUGAGGUGUGACCAAAACAUACAGUGUAUAUUUACAUUUUUUAAAAAAUUGAUUACAGUAAAAGACAUUACCAUUAAUCUCUCUCAGAAUAUUUGCUCUCACUUGGAGCACCACAUGCCUAUCAUUCUUGCUCCUCUCUGAGGAUGCUUCAUAAGUCUUCCUUUGUGGGUGUCUUUAGUUGCGCUGUUAUGGGUGCCUCAGUAUUCUGAAUGGAUUCAAAAAGUUUAUCAUUCAUGAUCAUUUUGAUUUUGAGGAAGAGCCAGAAGUCAUAUGGUACCAGAUCCAAUGUACAGAUAGAUGAGUACAUACCAGAAAGUUUUUAUUUGACAGAAAUUCCCAUAAAUGCUUUGAAUGGAUUCAGGACAUCGAGGGGGCUAAGAAAAGACACUGAUGAAAGAGGACUUGCAGAAUUUUCACUCACUUUGGAUUCUUCUGGGGAACAUAAUUUUCUUCCAGACUUAUUAGCAUCUUUAUCUGAGUAACUACAGUAGAAAAGUGGCAAUAACAAUGAGAUAGGUGUGUUUGAAGUAAGAGAGAGAUAUUUUAAGAGGAAUUAAUGGCAUGUCUUUCACUGUUAUGAUUAUUUUUAAUAAUUCAUUAUAUUUUUAAAUCAUACUUCAUAAAUUCUUUCCUUUAUUUGGAGUACUUUUCAUUACUCCUUCCACUUUUUGCUCACUUUCACUGAAAUAAAACAGAGUUUUCAGUUAUACAAACAAUGCUUUGCAGCAUGCAUGCAAUAGGUUCGCUACUACUGUUCCAUAAUGUAUGCUUUACUUUUAUUGAUUAUUUUGCCUUUAUCCCUUUUAAGGUAGUGAAUAGAUUAUAUUGUUCAAGGCUAUAUCUCUUGUAACUCAAUGCCUGAUAUGUACUAGGCAUUUAAUAAAUAUUGACUGAAUUAAUAAAGAAAUAAAUUUCUGCAGAUACAAAUGAUAAAAUAGCUAAUUUGUCACAUUUUCCUUUAAUUUUUUGAAAUUGGUUAUGACAGUAGAUUUCUUACACUUGUAUACUACAGGAAUAAAUUUUUUCAUGUUAAACAUGCAUAUUUUAGCAUUUUUAUAAAAAACUAAUUACUACAUGGGUUUAAUUCCAGGCUCUGUAUUUUGUUUCAUCGGUGUGUCUACAUUUAUGUCAAUACUGUUUUAAUUACUACACCUUUCUAUUUUACUUUGAAGUCAGGCAGUGUAAUUCUACCUGCUUGGUUCAUUUUUUUCCAAUACAAUUUUAGUUAUUUGUGGAAUUUUUUAUGAUUCCAUAUGAAUUUUAGUUUUUUUCUAGUUCUCUAGAGAAUGUCAUUAGUGUUUUGAUAGGGAUUACACUGAAUGUGCUGAUCACUUUGUGUAGUAUAGACAAUUUAAUAAUGUUGAUACUAACAAACCAAGAACAUGAGCUGUCUUUUGCAUUUGUGUCCUCUUAAAUUUCUUUCAUCAGUGUUUUAUAAUUUUCCUUAUAGAGAUCUUUAUAACCUCUUUGGUUAAAUUUAUUCCUCAGUAUUUUUAUGGCUAUUGUGAAUUAGACUGCUCUCAUGGUUUCUAUUCCUGGUAAUUCACUGUAUUAUUAUAGCAAUGCUAUGGAUUUUUAUAUACUGACUUGUGUCCUGCAACUUUCCUGAAUUUGUUUAUUAAUUCUAAUAAUUUUCUGGUGGAAUCUCUUGGAUUUUUAUAUAUAAGAUCAUGUCUAUGUAAAUAGUAAAAAUUUUACUUUAAUUUUUAUUUCUUGUAAUAUUUUAUUUUUUUCCUGGAAUAUAAAACAGUAAUUCUUGUAAAUUUGAGUUUUGUUAUAUGUAUUUUGAAUAGCUCUCAUUAGAUUUUCAACUUUCUAGUAUUUUUUGUUGGUUUUUUUUGUAUUAAAUUCUUUUAUUGGUACAUUGUAGGCAUACAACACAAUUAUAUUUCUCUUUGGGAAUUGUACCUUUACAUAAUGCAUCUUGGUUCUUAUUUUUUUCCCCAUUCCUAGCCCUCCCUUCACACCCUCCACCCUUCCCUAUUUACAAAGACUUUAUUUCCAUUUUUUUCCAUUUCUCAUCAUUUUUUCCUUUCCCUUCUUUCCUUUCCGCUGCCUCUCCCACUACCCCUACCCCUUUGGACCUUUUCUUCCUAUUUUACAUUAUCGAUUAUUCAUUCUAAUCAUUGGUACAUUUUAGGUAUACAACAUAAUGACAUUCAUCAUUGGAAAUUUGCACCUUUACAUAGUCUCUCUUGGUUCUUAUUUUUCACCCUUGCCCAGCCCUCCCUUCAACCCCUCCAGUCCUCCCUAUUUACAAAAAUUUUGUUCCUAUUUUUCCAUUUUCUCAUAUUAAUCCCAUUCCCUUCUAUUCUUUCCCCUAGCCCUACCACUUCCUUCCCCUUUGCCCCUGUUCUUCCUAUUUCACAUUACCUAUUAUACAUUUAGUCCUUAUUUACACUUUCAGUUUCUCACAUCAGAGAAACUAUUGGUAUUUACACAUGUGUGUCC
Molecule: long non-coding RNA, 17034 nt
Filed under: Heterocephalus glaber (naked mole-rat)
Lineage: Eukaryota; Metazoa; Chordata; Mammalia; Rodentia; Bathyergidae
Description: lncRNA (ENSHGLG00000040488.1)
Source: RNAcentral